This 787-nucleotide long non-coding RNA is filed under the name Polistes fuscatus (common paper wasp). RNAcentral's name for it is "uncharacterized LOC122522039, transcript variant X1". The record is from RNAcentral. Lineage: Eukaryota; Metazoa; Arthropoda; Insecta; Hymenoptera; Vespidae.
ACAUAUAUAUAUAUUAUAUACACAAGAACGCGAUUAUAUCUUACUCUCUCUCUUUCUUCUCACUCUCACUCUCUCCUCGUCCAUUUAAUUCGUCGUAUUUUUAAACUAUUAUAUUAUAUUUUUGAUUAAUAUAAAAAGAAAGAAGCAGGACCAAGAAGUAUAUAUAUAUAUAAGGAGAGAAAACACAAAAAAAAAUUUCACGAGUCUACACAAUAUUAUUUACCGCGUCACGUCGCAUCCGUGGUGUUUUUAUAAAACUCUUUUAAUUUCUCUCGUAUUAAAUCUUAUUAUUAUUAUUAUUAUUAUUUAAUAAUCUUGUUUUAAAUUAACGCACAUUGGCAAGAAACAAUCGAGCAACCAACCAACCAAUCAACAACCACAACGCCGAUAUAUUAUCUAUCAGCCCGCUGCCCCCCUUCCUACCGUAUGUUAGAAAAUAAUCUUGUUAUUAUUAUUCUCGUGCGUGUGGUGUGUCCUAUAUGUGUGUGUGCGCGCAACGUUAAGAAAAGUAAAUGAUUUUAUAACGAGAGACAGAAACCGACUACCCACACCCACCGGCAGGGAGAUUUCGUAUAUAAAAAAACAACAAACACAAGAAAAUGAGAAAAGAAUAAUCUGACGAUCCGAUAUCGAAGAUGAUUGCGAGUGUAAUAUAAAACGAAGAAAUCAAAGAUUUUUUUUUUUUUUUUCAAACACAAACAAACGUCGUCGUCGUCGUCGCGGUGGUGUGUGUAUGUGUAUGUGUGUUAUUAGAAUUAUUAUUGGCAGUGGUGGGGUUUAACGCGUA